RNAcentral lists this long non-coding RNA (395 nucleotides) under Hordeum vulgare. Its description in RNAcentral is "long non-coding RNA (HVUL_LNC006655)". Lineage: Eukaryota; Viridiplantae; Streptophyta; Magnoliopsida; Poales; Poaceae. The record is from RNAcentral.
GCCGUGCCGGGAUUCUGCAGUUGUUACGAUCGCUCCGGGGCACCGCCACCACCAAAACCCCAAUUUAUUCACCUCUCUCCCACACCUUUCUCCUCCAUCCUUGGCUGGCUCCCCCUUCUCCCCUCCGUCGCAACCCGCCCGGGUGGCCGCGCGCGGUCGCGGUGAAACGUGGGCGCUGGUGUCCUCGAGGUGCCUUGGACCCCAAGGACCCGAGCCGCGCCGCAGCCGCAGCCGCAGCCGCCCCGUCGCCGUCACGACGACUCUUCCCCGCGCCCGCCACGCACGUGCCGCAGCCCCGCCUAUACAACCCCAGCCCGCCCGCUCCGGCGCUUCACUCACUCAGCCCGCGCCCAUCCCAUGCCCACUGCGGCGUCGUCGUCGCCUUUCGCGGNNNN